GUUGAUGUGAAUUUUGGCAGUGAGUCCGGUGAGGGAGCUUCUGGUCGACACCCACGUGACCACAGGCACCUACGUCACCAUGGAUCAAAGUCCAGUAGCGGCGCCUGGCUCCUCCUUGUCCAAAGCUCUGAGCAGACGAAGAGACUGACACAAGUGCUGUAGUUAUCGUAGCUACGACGGACGUGCAACCAUGGAUACCCUGGAUAGAGUGGCGACCACGGCCAGGCAUCGUGGCUACAGUGAGGGUCACGGCCGUCCACUGUAGCUACAGUGAUGGUCACGGCCGCCCACCGAAACUACGGUGAUGGUCACGACCGCCCAACGAAGCUACGGUGAUGGUCACGGCCGCCCACCGAUGCUACGGUGAUGGUCACGGCCGCCCACCGAAGCUACGGUGAUGGUCACGGCCGCCCACCGAAGCAACAGUGAUGGUCAUGGCCGCCCACCGAA
Cherax quadricarinatus is the source of this 450-nucleotide long non-coding RNA. RefSeq lists it as uncharacterized. The record is from RefSeq and is a predicted model, not a curated record. Lineage: Eukaryota; Metazoa; Arthropoda; Malacostraca; Decapoda; Parastacidae.